RNAcentral lists this non-coding RNA (28 nucleotides) under Bombyx mori (domestic silkworm). Lineage: Eukaryota; Metazoa; Arthropoda; Insecta; Lepidoptera; Bombycidae. The record is from RNAcentral.
UGCAAAAUCAGUCAAGUGCGGAUAUUUC